ACUGCCUUUAAACCAAUCCCGUGAGGUUGGAAAGGAGUCGGACAGCGCAGAACUGGUGUAUACUAGCCAGGUGUUCUGAGCAAACGGCCACCUCCUAACCGGGGUGGUCGUUUUUCGU
Alicyclobacillus hesperidum is the source of this 118-nucleotide non-coding RNA. NCBI's taxonomy places the organism in Bacteria, Bacillati, Bacillota, Bacilli, Caryophanales, Alicyclobacillaceae. The record is from Rfam.